This 441-nucleotide ribosomal RNA is filed under the name uncultured bacterium. RNAcentral's name for it is "bacterial SSU rRNA". It matches the Rfam family "Bacterial small subunit ribosomal RNA", at positions 17 to 507 of the family's 1533-position model. The record is from RNAcentral.
UCCUGGCUCAGAAUGAACGCUGGCGGCAGGCCUAACACAUGCAAGUCGAACGGAUCCUUCGGGAUUAGUGGCGGACGGGUGAGCAACGCGUGGGAACAUACCCAAAGGUACGGAAUAGCCUCGGGAAACUGGGAGUAAUACCGUAUGUGGUCGAGAGACGAAAGAUUUAUCGCCUUUGGAUUGGCCCGCGUUGGAUUAGGUAGUUGGUGGGGUAAUGGCCUACCAAGCCGACGAUCCAUAGCUGGUUUGAGAGGAUGAUCAGCCACACUGGACUGAGACACGGCCCAGACUCCUACGGGAGGCAGCAGUGGGAAUCUUAGACAAUGGGGAAACCCUGAUCUAGCCAUGCCGCGUGAUCGAUGAAGGCCUUAGGGUUGUAAAGAUCUUUCAGAUGGGAAGAUAAUGACGGUACCAUCAGAAGAAGCCCCGGCUAACUCCGUG